UUCAAACGAAAUUUGCCAAAGAGUUGAAGACGGUGAGAGUACAUCAAUUUGGGCCGAUCCGUGACUAGGAGAUUACCGGAGUUUGAAAAUAUUGACUCGACGGUCUAUCCAACACGGCUAGUCCCGGUCGAGUCUUCAACUUGAUGGACUCGGCAACUCUGGAUUUGGCUAUGACCCAGAUAAAAUGAUGGACUUCACUUAUCCCAGAAGGUGAUUGUUUACAAGUAAUGGAAGCUCUAGACGGUGGCGCUUCUCUAUCUGCAACUUUGAAAGCAUACAUUGAAGGUUGUUUUCUUUAGUGGUUUCUUUUCGAACUAUUCUUUUUCCUUUACUAAACAUUCUUGUAAUAUUCUAGCUUAUAUGUUGUCUGCUAAGUUUGGACACUUUUGUAUCAAAAGCAAUAGUCUUUGUUAGGUACAGGUUUCUUUAGACUCAGCCAUAGAUCCGUAGAACUAAAGAAAG
RNAcentral lists this long non-coding RNA (462 nucleotides) under Erythranthe guttata (spotted monkey flower). Its description in RNAcentral is "long non-coding RNA (EGUT_LNC000384)". The record is from RNAcentral. Lineage: Eukaryota; Viridiplantae; Streptophyta; Magnoliopsida; Lamiales; Phrymaceae.